This 465-nucleotide ribosomal RNA is filed under the name uncultured bacterium. RNAcentral describes it as "partial 16S ribosomal RNA". It matches the Rfam family "Bacterial small subunit ribosomal RNA", at positions 28 to 507 of the family's 1533-position model. The record is from RNAcentral.
GACGAACGCUGGCGGCGUGCUUAACACAUGCAAGUCGAACGGAAAGGCCCCUUCGGGGGUCCUCGAGUGGCGAACAGGUGAGUAACACGUGAGUAACCUGCCCUUGACUUCGGGAUAACUUCAGGAAACUGGGGCUAAUACCGGAUAGGAAUCCUUGCUGCAUGGUGGGGGUUGGAAAGCUUCGGCGGUUUUGGAUGGACUCGCGGCUUAUCAGCUUGUUGGUGGGGUAGUGGCUUACCAAGGCUUUGACGGGUAGCCGGCCUGAGAGGGCGACCGGCCACAUUGGGACUGAGAUACGGCCCAGACUCCUACGGGAGGCAGCAGUGGGGAAUAUUGCACAAUGGGCGGAAGCCUGAUGCAGCAACGCCGCGUGCGGGAGGACGGCCUUCGGGUUGUAAACCGCUUUCAGCAGGGGCGAAGCUUGUGGUGACGGUACCUGCAGAAGAAGCACCGGCUAACUACGUG